GCCAUUUACUCCAUGGUUUGAAAUCAAGACAAAAUUCAAGCUCCAAAAUAUGGCAGAAAUUCGUGAACUCGUGACUUGGUUGAGGGUUUAUAUUAGGAAAAGAAAUGCAAAAGAAUGGUUCUAGUACAGUCAAGACCAUCAUCUUUAUUAAACCCAGAAAUGAGAAAGACUGUAGGUGCAGGAUCCAUGAAGUAACUCUCUCUCUCUCUCUCUCUCUCUCUCUUUGCUACAGCUUUGUGAGCUUCAUUUCUAAGCACAGGCGAAAAACCAAAGGAAAUAGGAAAUAAAAAACCAAAGGACACACUUUUUCCCCGUCUUUCUCGCACUUUCUCCCUCAAAUCCUCAACAAGAAUCACUGGGCUCACACAACCGACAUGCAAAGAGACUCACGAGUCAUGAUCAAGAGACCAGACGUGCAUGCGCCAGACACCAGCAGUAGCAGACCAAGGUUUUGUAUUUAUGUUUUGCCCUUUUCUUUCUUCGGGAUCUGCUAUUUUUUUUAUCUAUUUUUAUUUUUUAAUAUGUCCCAUAUAAUUCAGUACUAGCGGUAUUUCAACUAAAACCAAAAAACAUAUAAAUACCGGCGGAUUUAUCAUAAGAAAAAGAAGUUCAUCAAAUUCGAAGCUCUAGAAGCAGACAAAACCCAAUUACAGAACCCCAAAAACACACAAAUUAAACCCCAAAAUGAAAACAAAAGAAGUGUUGUGGUGAAUGGUGAAUGGUGAAUGAUCAGUAACGCUGUUGCUCUCUCUCUUGCUCCCCUCUUUUUCCUUAGUGGGCCAUCUUUUUCUAUACUUUUGGCCCUUUAAAGUUUAAAUCCCACUAUAUCAGUCAUUCCACCAUCAAACCUGAAAAAUCGCCAUGAAGUUGCAGAGAGGACAGGGAGGAGAGAGAGAGAGAGAGAGAGAGCUCGUG
This 915-nucleotide unclassified non-coding RNA is filed under the name Hevea brasiliensis (rubber tree). The record is from RNAcentral. Lineage: Eukaryota; Viridiplantae; Streptophyta; Magnoliopsida; Malpighiales; Euphorbiaceae.